GCGGUAGCCCGGUAGGGGUGAACAAUCGAGCCUGCAGCAGUGACGCAUUUUGUUCGCUCGGCGGCAGGGCGGACAUUUUGUUAAGCCCAAUGGCUUGAUCAGUACCAAGCAUGAAUUCGAGCUUUCCUAAAUUGUAGAACCCUUUCAGACCGGAAAAAUAGCACCGUGCUGAUUUAAAAUGAUGUAUUCAAAUAUAUCAAAAAUCGACUAUUGUCGACAUGUCGACGUUUAUCGUUCUGGUCCGAAAGCUUUAUGUGGUCGUUACUUUUACACAUAAUGGCAUGGAGUACCUAGUCAGCAUGAAGCCUGGGAAAAAGAAAAAUUAUAAAGAAAUCGCGAUGAUUCAAUUUCGUUCAAAGAAGACUUUUGAAUAGUCGCAGUCCUGUUGUGGAAUUGCCCCUUCCUGCUAAAGAUACAGGGUCUAGUGUUGUAGUAACACCAGUGUCAACGUUAAAUGCCAGAUAGCGAAAACUGCCCGACAUCUGAUUCCCAAAGUGGGAAUGACUUCCCGACAAGGAGGAAGAACAAAACACAUAGCCGACACCGAUAGUCUGGAUACUGGAUAGUUGUCAGAGCGUUUGUAAGUCAGUGGAUGUUCUCACAGAGCUGAAGGAGAUAAAACCUUUUGUUACGUUUAUUAUGAGAAAAGUAGAAGCGAUCGAAUUAUCAAUAAUAAAUGUUGCUUCGGAACCGAAACCAACAACAUUGUAGUUGCCUAAAUUACCUCUGACUCAAAUAAGCGAACUCGUGAACAUGGAGGCGAUGCUAGGCGAGGAAAACGUUCGAUCGCAAUUGUUUGAUAUGCUAAGGCAUACACGAAGAAUCAAAGAACGGGACUGUAUCAACCGCUGUCUGGAAAAAAUCUCGGAUUACUUGGGGCAGUAAUUGCUCUUGGACGGGGAAAAAAACAAUUUCAGAUUGUCUUCCCCAAAGCUGAUGAAUGUUAUAAAACUUUGAUAUGCUAAGGCAUACAGGAGGAAGCGAAGGAACGGGACUGCGUCAACCGCUGUCUGGAAAAAAAUCUUGGACGGGAAAAAAAGCAAUUUCAAAUUGUCUUCCUCAAUGCUGAUGAUGUUAUAAAACGUGCUGUAAGGCAGACAUUUCCAAACGUUACAGAUGAUAUGGUUUCAACAUGGUGGGACCCGAAUUAAGCGACAAUAAUUAGUAACAAGAAACAAUUAUUUUUAAAUGCAGGUGAUGGAUGAUGACAAAACCUUAAACUAGUAGAAUUUUAUUAAAUACAAGACAUACGUUUAAGUUUCCAAACACUAAAUCGGAGUAACCAGCGUGGUUCAAAUUUGUAGCGUAGUUGAGCAAUUUUAGUUUUUAAGUUUUGCUUCCCGUGUUUCUUAUUAUUGUGAUAUAGUCCGAGUUCUUAACCAAAUGUACAGUCCGGUCUGGCAGAAAGCAUGAAACUUGGCAUGUAUAUAGCUUAUAGGUUUAUAAGAAAAUAUGGAAGUAGAAACACGCCGAGGUGUCAAUGUUUCCCCUCUUUCCCCCCACUUUUGUA
RNAcentral lists this long non-coding RNA (1510 nucleotides) under Leguminivora glycinivorella. RNAcentral describes it as "uncharacterized LOC125233793, transcript variant X1". The record is from RNAcentral. Lineage: Eukaryota; Metazoa; Arthropoda; Insecta; Lepidoptera; Tortricidae.